This 877-nucleotide ribosomal RNA is filed under the name Inocybe pinophila. Its description in RNAcentral is "Inocybe sp. MS-2018b partial 28S ribosomal RNA". It matches the Rfam family "Eukaryotic large subunit ribosomal RNA", at positions 71 to 936 of the family's 3401-position model. The record is from RNAcentral. Lineage: Eukaryota; Fungi; Basidiomycota; Agaricomycetes; Agaricales; Inocybaceae.
AGGAUUCCUUAGUAACUGCGAGUGAAGUGGGAAAAGCUCAAAUUUAAAAUCUGGCAGUCAUGUGGCUGUCCGAGUUGUAAUCUAGAGAAGUGUUGCCCGUGCUGGACCAUGUACAAGUCUCCUGGAAUGGAGCAUCACAGAGGGUGAGAAUCCUGUCUUUGACAUGGACUACCAGUGCUUUUGUGGUAUGCUCUCAAAGAGUCGAGUUGUUUGGGAAUGCAGCUCAAAAUGGGUGGUAAAUGCCAUCUAAAGCUAAAUAUUGGCGAGAGACCGAUAGCGAACAAGUACCGUGAGGGAAAGAUGAAAASAACUUUGGAAAGAGAGUUAAACAGUACGUGAAAUUGCUGAAAGGGAAACGCUUGAAGUCAGUCACGUUGACUUGAAAUCAGCUCUGCUUUUGCUGGGUGUACUUUCUUGUCAAUGGGUCAGCAUCAAUUUUGACCAUUGGAUAAAGUUGUUGGGAAUGUAGCAUCUUUUGGAUGUGUUAUAGCCUGGCAAUGCAUACAGUGGUUGGGAUUGAGGAAUUCAGCAUGCCGCCAGGCCGGGUUUCGACCACGAUCGUGCUUAGGAUGCUGGCAUAAUGGCUUUAAUUGACCCGUCUUGAAACACGGACCAAGGAGUCUAACAUAUCUGCAAGUGUUUGGGUGGAAAACCCAUGUGCGUAAUGAAAGUGAAAGUUGAGAUCCCUUCUGGGAGCAUCGACGCCCGGACCAGACCUUUUGUGACGGAUCCGCGGUAGAGCAUGUAUGUUGGGACCCGAAAGAUGGUGAACUAUGCCUGAAUAGGGUGAAGCCAGAGGAAACUCUGGUGGAGGCUCGUAGCGAUUCUGACGUGCAAAUCGAUCGUCAAAUUUGGGUAUAGGGGCGAAAGACUAAUC